This is a long non-coding RNA of Magallana angulata, 3539 nucleotides long. RefSeq lists it as uncharacterized. Lineage: Eukaryota; Metazoa; Mollusca; Bivalvia; Ostreida; Ostreidae. The transcript has 3 exons. The record is from RefSeq and is a predicted model, not a curated record.
UGUAAUAAAUUGAUAUUCAAAAAUGAAAAAAAUAUCAAAAGUAAGAAAUUUUUGGAGAAUAAAUCUUAAAGUUUUGUUCCGAUUAAACUAUAAUCAAUAUAAAUGUUUAGGAUCAUGUAAAAAGUAUUACUUUUCAUCCUCUAAGAAUAAGAUUAAGGUGGUAUUAAUUAACAUGAUUAAGCCUCCAUAAUUUGACAUCCUUUCUGUUAAUAGAACUUAACCUUGUCAUAAGUCAAAAACAAGAUCAAGACUACUGAUUUGAAAGUCACAAGUUUGAAACCAGCUGGGGAUUUUAUAAUUCUACCUUUCUUAAAAAAAUUAUUUUCUGUAUUUUUUAUACAGUAUGAACAUUUUUAAACUGAGUAUUUUUUAUUUUUUAAUAUGAUGACUGAAUAUCCAUAUCAAGAUCUAAAGAUGUCCUAAACAAUACUGUACUAAUAUAUCUAUAUUCUAAUAAUUUUGCUUAUUAUGGAAAAACAAAUAAAACAUUUAAGGUGUAUGAGACACCCGUUGAUAUUGAUAUGAAUAAUAGUACCAGGUAAAUUAUACAUGUGUAUUAUAAAUCAAAAUACUUUCACCCUUUUAGAACUUUUAAAUUAUGCACUAUUUGACUAAAAAACAUUUUAAAAAUAUUUAAAAAAGAUAAAAAUCAUAAAAGCCCCAGCGGGAUACAAACUCAUGACUUACAGAUUCUUGGUCAAUGCUCUUACCUAUUGCGCUAAGCUGUUAAGCUUACGUGACAAUUCUGGGAAAGAAAAUGAUUAUACUUGAUUUUAUUAUUUAUCUGAUAGAAAGUACGUCACAAUAUGGAGGUGUCCCAUACCACCUUUUUUUGUUUUUUUAAGCAAUAAAAGUAACAGUGUCAAGGAUGCUGACAUAGUUCUUCCACCAUGUACACAUGUCACCUUUUCAACAAAUCAUCUCCCUUCUUCAGAGAUUACUUGGACCUUGUUUUCAUAGUAUUUAUGUUCACAUCAAACAUGUUUAUAGAUAAAUUAAAAAAAAAUAUCAAAGCAACACAGAGAUCAUAAACCAAUAAAACAAUGGAUGCAGUCCGAUUUUAGUCUGCAGGAAUACCAUACAGUCAAGCUUUUUUAUCUCGAAAUAGAUGGGACUGUUUAAAAACUUUGAAGUAUCUGAGUAUUUAAGAUAUCAAGGGUUAAAUUAUACUUAAAAAGUAAGUGGUUAGGAUUUACCAAUCACUUCGUCAUAUCCAUUGUAUUCGAGAUAUCAGUGUUUGAGCUAGAUAUCAAAGUUCAACUUGUAUUUAGAUUAUUUUAUAGUGAUAAUACACAUUGUCAUGGAUCUUUAGAAAAAAGUGACAGUGUAAAACUUCAUGACACAUGACAUGAGUAACUGUAAGUGUUAUAACUUUUACUUCAAAUAUACAUUGUUUUUAGGAAACUUUCGGACCUUAAAUUUCCCUAUAACAAUUUGAAGUUUAAAUGAGGCAGAUGCAUGAAGCAGAGUUUAACAGAGUACAAGUCAAUCAAGAAAUGAAUUAAACGGUCACACAAUCAAUGCAAGUGUGUUAUCAGUUUAUGGUUGUUUCAGGUCUGCAAAUGAAGGACUGCAAGCAACAACCUCUCUCUGAUGUUAAUCCCUCCAUUCUACAGGUCAAUGACCAAUGGUCUCUCCCAAUCAUUAAAUCAAGACAAUGAGGAAAAAUCUUUUUAAAAUUGAUAACGUUUCAAAGAGAUGUCAAUAUGUGAACUAUUUAUAUUCCAGGAAAUUUUUCUGAAGAAGACGUACAAAAUCCCCCAUAUCCUUUUCAACUGUUGAUAGAAUGGGAUAUGUUGGAAAGAGAUCUUAUUUUCUCAUCUAGAAUAAACCAUAUAUAUCAAUACAUGACUACUGUAAAUUCCUAAUUAAAUGCGAGGAAUUAAUAUCUGAGUAAAAUUGCAAGAGGCACAUCUCGCGGAUUUCAAAGAGUGAAAAAUGAUGAUGUACAAAUGAAGUUUUCUUGGAUAUUUUCCCUUUCAUCUAUUUCAAUUGGACUUCUAUCAAAGUUUCACUGAGCUACACGUAAGGUGUUGCGAACACACGAUGAAGCAGGAAGGACAAAGGGGCGGAAGACGAACCUAUCAAACACUAUGCAGAUAUACACGUAAAACAUAACAGAGCUUGGAAAGGUUUGUUUUUAAGAAAUUGAUAUAAAUCUGUAGAAGGAUAUAACCGGUAAAAGUUUUAUAAUAUCCACAAGAAAUCUAAAGGGGGGGGGGGGGGGGCUCCAACGCCUAAUCCCAACACUCUUUGAAUUUGUGACAUAAAAACGAGCAAUUUAAAAUCUGCUGAACAAGUCCUGUGCAUCAUAUGUGUAUCAUAUGUUAGUCAUAUUAUUCAGUAUUCACAGAAUGUCAUAUUGAUCAUGGCUUCAUGAAAACACGUUGAGCUGUUUGUCAGAAAAUGGUCCAUUUCAUAAACAAUCAAGGUAUCCUUUUAAAAAUAUUCAACUGACAAGGAGUGCAAGAAAAAACAAAGAUUCAACUACAUUUAGUUUUAUUUUAAUAAAGCUGAUAAUAAGCAGACAAAAAGUGAGAUUUAAUUUUAUAUUACAGCUACAAACUGCUAUAACACAAGUGUAAUGCUUUCGGAACUUUUCUGAUAGAAUGAAAUACACAUCUCAAAAAUAUGAGAAAAUGCCUCAGUAAAUAUAAAAUGAGAGGAAAAGAUCAAUACACACUACCAAAUUACUCAAAUUUUAAAAAUUAGAAUAAAAUAAAAGCAGUCACUUACUUCAUAAUUUGAACAUCUGGUGCUUUAAUAUUCAAAAUAGUUAUACUGUAUUGUAUUCUAGUAUGUAUUAUAAAAUAAUGAUUCUCAAAGCUUGAAAAAUCCUUUAUAAUAAAUUUUUGAAAAUGGUAUGUAAAUUUAGUAUUUAUACUACUCCGCGGAAUUAACACUCCACAUAACAGAUUACAGAAAUGGCAUACAAAGAUGACAGGAGUUAUUCUCUACAGCAUUUAUACAUCAACGACUAAUUUGAAUUUAUACAUGUAUUUAAUGAAUUGAUUAAAAUUUCUGUUUAAGUUUAUACAUAACAAAGGAAUCUAAACUCAAAUUAGAACUUACUGGUACACAAUAUGAAUCGCCUUAUGCCUUAUAUUUACAUGUAUACAUAUAGAUAUUUUUGAGUUUUCUAUUCUUGGGAUAAAACAUAUAUACAACAUGCACACUGACAUAAAAAAAAUAAUUAUGUUACAAAAAGAUCUCAAUAAACAAAUGCAAAAAAAAAUUACAAAAUAAAUUGACAUUCAUAUGAACAACAUUUUCACAAUACGGCAAUUGAGUCCUAGCUAAAGCAAAGGAUAAAUAUUUCAUUUAUUUCCCAAAAUCAACAUGCAACAAAUUAAUACCUUAUUUAAAUGACGUUAUUUUACAGUUUACAAUUUGAUACAUAAUUUUUACAUCUUAAAUUUCCAAAAAAUGAAAAUAGAUUAAAAAGUUCAGUAUUCCCUUUUUAUCAUUUAUCACAUGACCAGUCUUACCCAAAAUUUACACAGGGUGUUAUAAUAUACAGUAAAUGUACUGCUUUCCAA